CAGGUAUCCAAUAAUUCCAUUCAAUUCUAGCUCUACUAGGACUUCACAUCAAAUCUCACAAGUAAAAGGGCUUUUCCCCCAAGACUAUCCCGACUUCAGAUUCCAGUUGCAAGUCUGUGCCUCCAGUACUUUUGACCAACCAGCCAUAUGUCAGGUUCCCAGGACCCCUCGGUGGGCUCAAAAAACCACUAGAAUGGUGCACAGAACUCACUUGGUUUACCAGUUUGUCCUAAAGGAUACCACUCUGAUCAGCCAGACAGAAGAGACGCAUAAAACAAGGAAUGGGGAUAAGAAGAACAUAGAGCUUCCAUGCCCUUUUUAGGUAUGGCACCCUCCCAGAACCUCUGUAUGGCCAAGCAAGGUGGCGCACAGCUUCAAUCCCAGUGGCUCAGAAUUCUCAGGGGGAUGAAGAGUCUAAAAGCCAGCCUCAUGGAGGGUGAGGCACUCAGCAACUUGGUGAGACCCUGUCUCUAAAUAAAAAUGCAAUAAAGGGCUGGGGAUGUGGCUGCUGGAGUGCCCCUGAGUUCAAGUUCCAGUACAAAAAAAAAGAACCUCUAUAUGUUCAAUAGUAGGGAGAUUAUUAAACCUCAAGAAUGAGAUGGAUAUAUUGCUCAGAGGGAAUGCACCAUGUGCAAGGCCCAAGGUUCAAACCCAAGCACCACAAAAAACAGGAUCUCACAGAGUUCAAAUGUUUAUAGAACUGAGUCUCUAGACUCUCCCCUACCCCCUGAUGAACAGUAACAUCCAGAGGCUAAGAGUCUCACUCUAAAUCACCUCAUUAGCAUAUAAACUAGUUUAAGCCGGGGAGCUCACUGUGAAUAACAAGAGAUACUUUUUUUUUUUGGUACCAGGAAUUGAACUCAGGUGCACUUAACUACUGAGUCACAUCCUUAGCCCUUUUUAUUUCAAGAGAGGGUCUUGCUAAGUUGCUUGGGGCCUUGCUAAAUUGCUGAGGCUCCUUUCCAACUUGUGAUCCUCCUGCCUCAGCUUCCUCAACAGCUGGGGUUACAGCAUACACUGCCACUACCCCCAACUAACAAAAGAUACUCAUAUCACUCAGGAAGUUACUAGGGUUUUAAGAGCUCUGGGACAAAGAACAAAUAUGUUUCUUAUAACAACUAUGUAAGCCUGGACAGAUCAGUGGAGCCUCUUCAGGCUUCAAUACAUCUUUUAUAGAGAGAAUACUUACUUCUUAAGGUGACUGUAUUACCUAGAACCUCAAAGAAUAAAUAAAGUGGUAUCAGUUACUAACUUUAUGAAAAAGCCUAGCCUACUACUUCCUAAUAAGGAUUAACUUCCUUCUUAAUACUGCCCUUGUCUCUCAUAACACAAUAAUAUCGAAGACCAAAGCUACUAAGUUGGUCAGUUUUCCAACUGUAUCUCAAUCAGAGGAGAUACUUAAAAAGAGGAACUUAAAAAGAGGAAUGGGUUUUUGUGGUUUUUUGUUUGUUUUUUUUUUUACUCACAGAUUUGAAGGUUGCAUCCCUGGACAGAUGACCUGUCGAUGUGAAGAGGCAGCACAUCACAGCAUCUCAGGGGACAUCAAGUGGCAGAAACAGCUUAUUAUCAAUGAAUUAAAACAACAGAAUUGUCCUCACAUUUAGACUAUAAGAAGGAGGUAAUUAGAAUUAUGAAAGUUCAGUGCCAGAAAGCAAUUUGAGAAUAUUUAGACCAAACUCUCGGGUUCUCUAGAGAAACAGAACCAACAGGAGGUAUGAUUAUAAAAAGGGGAUUUAUUAGAUUGGCUUACACAACCGGAAGCUGGAUAGUCCACAAUGGCUGUUUGCAGGCGGGAGAGCUGGAGGAACCAGUAGCAGCGCAGUUCAAGAGACUGAAGCCUCAGAACAAGAGAGAUCAAUGAUGAUUCCCCAGUCCAAGUACGAAAGCUCUGGAAACUCCCUGGAGAAUCACUGGCAGAGUCCUAUUUGGAAGAUUGAAGGAGCUCCUCAGGUGAUCGCAGCAGCAAUCAAGAACCCCCACAACAAGAAAGGAGCUUGCAUCUGCUUCUGCUUCCCUGUUCUUCCAACUUCUAUUCCAUACAAGUCUCCAGCCUAUUGCAGGGUGCUGACCAUGCUUAGGGAGUAUCUCCAUUUCAGUUGGCUAUUCCACAUGCCAAUCAUUCCCAGACACAGCCCCCUGGCCACAUUCAGAAGCCUUUAAUCUUCUGCAUCUCUUAAUCCAAUCAAGUUGAGGAUUCAAAUUGACUAUUACUGUGUGUGUGUGUAUGUGUGUGUACACUCACACACAUGUAUACAUACACAUACAUACACACACAUACUGUAUUGGAAUAGCUUACCAAGAAAGAUGCUUUAAAAUAGGAGUCAUUAAUUCAAAAUAAUAAAGGUUUUUUGAGAGUCAACUUUCUCAUUGUUUCUCUCCAGGUGAAGUCUGUUAAAGUGGGUGAUCUACCAAAUCAGACUCUUUAGGACUAAAAGACUUUUCUUUUAGCUUUAUCUGCUCUUCCUCAAAAUGCCAGUAGGUGGGGCUUAUAGCCUAGCCAUAGUCUGUAUUCUUGAUGAAAGGAAUGUUGGCAACAAAUUCUCUCAAACCAGAAUAGUGCGCCUGUGCACGGUCCCUGGUGAAAUAACCUUCGCAUUUAAUCAGAUACACAGACCUGGCCUCAUUUAUGACCACAUUUAAACUAUCUAGUACUUCAUAAGGCUCAAUUAUUGACCCAGU
This 2679-nucleotide long non-coding RNA is filed under the name Marmota monax (woodchuck). The record is from RNAcentral. Lineage: Eukaryota; Metazoa; Chordata; Mammalia; Rodentia; Sciuridae.